This is a long non-coding RNA of Nomascus leucogenys (northern white-cheeked gibbon), 491 nucleotides long. RefSeq lists it as uncharacterized. The record is from RefSeq and is a predicted model, not a curated record. The transcript is spliced from 3 exons. NCBI's taxonomy places the organism in Eukaryota, Metazoa, Chordata, Mammalia, Primates, Hylobatidae.
GUGAUUCUCCUGCCUAAGCCUCCCGAGUAGCUGGGAUUACAGUUUUAAUCAUCACACCAUGGUCUGCUUGUCUGACUCCCUUGAUACAACGUGCUGCCCAUUCGUCAGGGCCUGAGAGUGGCAGCAGCAGAGGCCAAGGGAGGUAUGGAGAGGGUAAGAAAACUCUAAGAAAAAAGGAGCUAAAGUUCCUGUAACAAUAAUAGAUGCAUGGAAGAAAAGAAAAGCCUAAAGUAGGAUCCUCCCAUGAAGAAAGCAAAGAGAGGAGAUUUCUUAAAACAAUAACUACAAGAGUCAAGAAAACUUUGCUUUUUACUUAUUUACAGCUUGUUGCAAUUGAGUAUACUCCUGUAAACAAAUUUGGAUUUCUCUCUCUCAAUCUGAUUUCUCCCUCUCAAUCUGAUUUCUCCAGAAUGUGGAAACUAUUUGUGAGUAUUCUUAAUUUAUGGCAACAUAGUUAUUUGCAUAAGUGCAAUAAGAAUGUUUUAUUUUAC